UACGUAGGUGGCAAGCGUUGUCCGGAUUUACUGGGCGUAAAGAGCGCGCAGGCGGUCGUUCAAGUCGAAUGUGAAAUCCCCCGGCUCAACUGGGGAGGGUCAUUCGAUACUGAUCGACUCGAAGGCAGGAGAGGGAAGCGGAAUUCCCGGUGUAGUGGUGAAAUGCGUAGAUAUCGGGAGGAACACCAGUGGCGAAGGCGGCUUCCUGGCCUGUUCUUGACGCUGAGGCGCGAAAGCUAGGGGAGCAAACGGG
RNAcentral lists this ribosomal RNA (253 nucleotides) under uncultured bacterium. RNAcentral's name for it is "partial 16S ribosomal RNA". It matches the Rfam family "Bacterial small subunit ribosomal RNA", at positions 524 to 776 of the family's 1533-position model. The record is from RNAcentral.